GGCCUGUGAGGGUUGCUGGAGGUAUCAGAAGUGCGAAUGCUGACAUAAGUAACGAUAAAGCGGGUGAAAAGCCCGCUCGCCGGAAGACCAAGGGUUCCUGUCCAACGUUAAUCGGGGCAGGGUGAGUCGACCCCUAAGGCGAGGCCGAAAGGCGUAGUCGAUGGGAAACGGGUUAAUAUUCCCGUACUUGGUGUUACUGCGAAGGGGGGACGGAGAAGGCUAUGUUGGCCGGGCGACGGUUGUCCCGGUUUAAGCGUGUAGGUGUGUGUUCCAGGUAAAUCCGGUUCACUUUAACACUGAGGCGUGACGACGAGGCACUACGGUGCUGAAGCAACAAAUGCCCUGCUUCCAGGAAAAGCCUCUAAGCAUCAGGUAACAUCAAAUCGUACCCCAAACCGACACAGGUGGUCAGGUAGAGAAUACCAAGGCGCUUGAGAGAACUCGGGUGAAGGAACUAGGCAAAAUGGUGCCGUAACUUCGGGAGAAGGCACGCUGACACGUAGGUGAAGUGAUUUACUCAUGGAGCUGAAGUCAGUCGAAGAUACCAGCUGGCUGCAACUGUUUAUUAAAAACACAGCACUGUGCAAACACGAAAGUGGACGUAUACGGUGUGACGCCUGCCCGGUGCCGGAAGGUUAAUUGAUGGGGUCAGCGCAAGCGAAGCUCCUGAUCGAAGCCCCGGUAAACGGCGGCCGUAACUAUAACGGUCCUAAGGUAGCGAAAUUCCUUGUCGGGUAAGUUCCGACCUGCACGAAUGGCGUAAUGAUGGCCAGGCUGUCUCCACCCGAGACUCAGUGAAAUUGAACUCGCUGUGAAGAUGCAGUGUACCCGCGGCAAGACGGAAAGACCCCGUGAACCUUUACUAUAGCUUGACACUGAACAUUGAGCCUUGAUGUGUAGGAUAGGUGGGAGGCUUUGAAGUGUGGACGCCAGUCUGCAUGGAGCCGACCUUGAAAUACCACCCUUUAAUGUUU
This 974-nucleotide ribosomal RNA is filed under the name Salmonella enterica. RNAcentral's name for it is "partial 23S ribosomal RNA". It matches the Rfam family "Bacterial large subunit ribosomal RNA", at positions 1258 to 2215 of the family's 2925-position model. Lineage: Bacteria; Pseudomonadati; Pseudomonadota; Gammaproteobacteria; Enterobacterales; Enterobacteriaceae. The record is from RNAcentral.